UACGUAGGGGGCAAGCGUUGUCCGGAUUUACUGGGCGUAAAGAGCGCGUAGGCGGAACGUUAAGCGGGGCCGGAAAGCCCCCGGCUCAACCGGGGAAGGGGCCGCGAACUGGCGUUCUUGAGGGGGAGAGGGGAGAGCGGAAUUCCUGGUGUAGCGGUGAAAUGCGUAGAGAUCAGGAGGAACACCCAUGGCGAAGCCAGCUCUCUGGCUUCACCCUGACGCUGAGGCGCGAAAGCGUGGGGAGCGAACGGG
This 252-nucleotide ribosomal RNA is filed under the name uncultured bacterium. RNAcentral describes it as "partial 16S ribosomal RNA". It matches the Rfam family "Bacterial small subunit ribosomal RNA", at positions 524 to 776 of the family's 1533-position model. The record is from RNAcentral.